This 253-nucleotide ribosomal RNA is filed under the name uncultured bacterium. RNAcentral's name for it is "partial 16S ribosomal RNA". It matches the Rfam family "Bacterial small subunit ribosomal RNA", at positions 524 to 776 of the family's 1533-position model. The record is from RNAcentral.
UACAGAGGAUGCAAGCGUUAUCCGGAAUUACUGGGCGUAAAGGGCUCGUAGGCGGCCAACUAAGUCGGAUGUGAAAUCCCCAGGCUUAACCUGGGAACUGCAUCCGAUACUGGUUGGCUUGAAUCCGGGAGAGGGAUGCGGAAUUCCAGGUGUAGCGGUGAAAUGCGUAGAUAUCGGGAGGAACACCUGUGGCGAAAGCGGCUCACUGGACCACAACUGACGCUGAGGCGCGAAAGCUAGGGGAGCAAACAGG